GGCCUGCCGCGGCGAGCGGGUCGCGCUCGCGCUGCGGCCGCUGGGCGGCCGGUUCCCGCAGCCGCCGGCGGGUUUC
This 76-nucleotide transfer RNA is filed under the name Streptomyces lucensis JCM 4490. RNAcentral's name for it is "tRNA-Arg". Lineage: Bacteria; Bacillati; Actinomycetota; Actinomycetes; Kitasatosporales; Streptomycetaceae. The record is from RNAcentral.